GCGCAGAUCUUCCAGCGAGGCUCGGUCUGUCGUGUCCGCGCGCUCUCCUGAUGUUCUGCCAGAGAGACUGGGGGGAGUUUGAGGCCCCGCUGUGGCUCCCCGCGGCCGGGCUUUAGGUGAACCCCCAACAAAU
This 133-nucleotide small nucleolar RNA is filed under the name Oryzias melastigma (Indian medaka). RNAcentral describes it as "Small nucleolar RNA SNORA9 (ENSOMEG00000022531.1)". The record is from RNAcentral. Lineage: Eukaryota; Metazoa; Chordata; Actinopteri; Beloniformes; Adrianichthyidae.